This 506-nucleotide ribosomal RNA is filed under the name uncultured bacterium. Its description in RNAcentral is "partial 16S ribosomal RNA". It matches the Rfam family "Bacterial small subunit ribosomal RNA", at positions 29 to 523 of the family's 1533-position model. The record is from RNAcentral.
AGUGAACGCUGGCGGUAGGCCUAACACAUGCAAGUCGAACGGCAGCACAGGAGAGCUUGCUCUCUGGGUGGCGAGUGGCGGACGGGUGAGGAAUACAUCGGAAUCUACUCUGUCGUGGGGGAUAACGUAGGGAAACUUACGCUAAUACCGCAUACGACCUACGGGUGAAAGCAGGGGACCUUCGGUCCUUGCGCGAUUGAAUGAGCCGGUGUCGGAUUAGCUAGUUGGCGGGGUAAAGGCCCACCAAGGCGAAGAUCAGUAGCUGGUCUGAUGUGAUGAGCAGCCACAGUGGAACUGAGACACGGUCCAGACUCCUACGGGAGGCAGCAGUGGGGAAUAUUGGACAAUGGGCGCAAGCCUGAUCCAGCCAUACCGCGUGGGUGAAGAAGGCCUUCGGGUUGUAAAGCCCUUUUGUUGGGAAAGAAAUCCAGCUGGCUAAUACCCGGUUGGGAUGACGGUACCCAAAGAAUAAGCACCGGCUAACUUCGUGCCAGCCGCCGCCGUAA